GAACGACAUGUCAUUUGUUCCUAUUUAUUUAAGAAAUAUAUAUUCAGGUGACAAAUGACAUGCCUAC
RNAcentral lists this small RNA (67 nucleotides) under Salix viminalis (osier). The record is from RNAcentral. Lineage: Eukaryota; Viridiplantae; Streptophyta; Magnoliopsida; Malpighiales; Salicaceae.